This 1545-nucleotide ribosomal RNA is filed under the name Salmonella enterica subsp. enterica serovar Anatum. RNAcentral's name for it is "bacterial SSU rRNA". It matches the Rfam family "Bacterial small subunit ribosomal RNA". The record is from RNAcentral. RNAcentral also lists the same sequence under 1 other name. Lineage: Bacteria; Pseudomonadati; Pseudomonadota; Gammaproteobacteria; Enterobacterales; Enterobacteriaceae.
AAAUUGAAGAGUUUGAUCAUGGCUCAGAUUGAACGCUGGCGGCAGGCCUAACACAUGCAAGUCGAACGGUAACAGGAAGCAGCUUGCUGCUUCGCUGACGAGUGGCGGACGGGUGAGUAAUGUCUGGGAAACUGCCUGAUGGAGGGGGAUAACUACUGGAAACGGUGGCUAAUACCGCAUAACGUCGCAAGACCAAAGAGGGGGACCUUCGGGCCUCUUGCCAUCAGAUGUGCCCAGAUGGGAUUAGCUUGUUGGUGAGGUAACGGCUCACCAAGGCGACGAUCCCUAGCUGGUCUGAGAGGAUGACCAGCCACACUGGAACUGAGACACGGUCCAGACUCCUACGGGAGGCAGCAGUGGGGAAUAUUGCACAAUGGGCGCAAGCCUGAUGCAGCCAUGCCGCGUGUAUGAAGAAGGCCUUCGGGUUGUAAAGUACUUUCAGCGGGGAGGAAGGUGUUGUGGUUAAUAACCGCAGCAAUUGACGUUACCCGCAGAAGAAGCACCGGCUAACUCCGUGCCAGCAGCCGCGGUAAUACGGAGGGUGCAAGCGUUAAUCGGAAUUACUGGGCGUAAAGCGCACGCAGGCGGUCUGUCAAGUCGGAUGUGAAAUCCCCGGGCUCAACCUGGGAACUGCAUUCGAAACUGGCAGGCUUGAGUCUUGUAGAGGGGGGUAGAAUUCCAGGUGUAGCGGUGAAAUGCGUAGAGAUCUGGAGGAAUACCGGUGGCGAAGGCGGCCCCCUGGACAAAGACUGACGCUCAGGUGCGAAAGCGUGGGGAGCAAACAGGAUUAGAUACCCUGGUAGUCCACGCCGUAAACGAUGUCUACUUGGAGGUUGUGCCCUUGAGGCGUGGCUUCCGGAGCUAACGCGUUAAGUAGACCGCCUGGGGAGUACGGCCGCAAGGUUAAAACUCAAAUGAAUUGACGGGGGCCCGCACAAGCGGUGGAGCAUGUGGUUUAAUUCGAUGCAACGCGAAGAACCUUACCUGGUCUUGACAUCCACAGAAGAAUCCAGAGAUGGAUUUGUGCCUUCGGGAACUGUGAGACAGGUGCUGCAUGGCUGUCGUCAGCUCGUGUUGUGAAAUGUUGGGUUAAGUCCCGCAACGAGCGCAACCCUUAUCCUUUGUUGCCAGCGGUUAGGCCGGGAACUCAAAGGAGACUGCCAGUGAUAAACUGGAGGAAGGUGGGGAUGACGUCAAGUCAUCAUGGCCCUUACGACCAGGGCUACACACGUGCUACAAUGGCGCAUACAAAGAGAAGCGACCUCGCGAGAGCAAGCGGACCUCAUAAAGUGCGUCGUAGUCCGGAUUGGAGUCUGCAACUCGACUCCAUGAAGUCGGAAUCGCUAGUAAUCGUGGAUCAGAAUGCCACGGUGAAUACGUUCCCGGGCCUUGUACACACCGCCCGUCACACCAUGGGAGUGGGUUGCAAAAGAAGUAGGUAGCUUAACCUUCGGGAGGGCGCUUACCACUUUGUGAUUCAUGACUGGGGUGAAGUCGUAACAAGGUAACCGUAGGGGAACCUGCGGUUGGAUCACCUCCUUACCU